Molecule: ribosomal RNA, 1713 nt
Filed under: Triticum aestivum (bread wheat)
Lineage: Eukaryota; Viridiplantae; Streptophyta; Magnoliopsida; Poales; Poaceae
Description: partial small subunit ribosomal RNA
Source: RNAcentral
AUGGCCUCCUCUCCCACCACCAACCACACCCCCUCUGAUCCCUCCCCAGCCACCAACUCCCCCACCCCUCCCCACCGUCCUAGCUCCCCUGCCGAUCCAGAUCGAGAGCUGCUGACUGCCGGUGCUGAGGAUGAAGACGGGGACUCUCGCGCGCACUCCGAGGGUUGCCUUGGGAUCCUCCCUCCGCUCAAGCUGCCACCACCUCCAGAUCGGCUCCCCCCGAACUUCACGCCGCCGGUGGUGACCGACGCAUCGCAGGCAUCUACGGAGAAGGGGUGGGUGGAGGUCGGGGGCCAGCAUCGCCGGAGGUUGGAGAGGCUACCUGCCCCGCCCCGCAAGAAGGAGACCGACCGCGUCCUCGCUUUCAAGCGGAGAGCUUAUGGGCUCUGCUUCCGUUGCUUGGCAGAGGACCACUUCGUCGCCGACUGUCGUCGGCCUAUCACCUGCCUGGGCUGCGGCCGCGCUGGGUAUCGCGAGCGUGGCUGUCCGGACCACCUCCCUGCCAGCCAUGGUCAUCUCCACAGCGCCCUGUUGCCGCCGGCUGCUCCUCACCUCCCCACACACCCGCCCCAAGCUCCUUCACUGCGGUUGCAGAAGCGUUCGUGGGCCUCUGUUGUUGCUGCUCCGACUAGGCUCGUCCAAGGGGUCCCUUGUAGCAAUUCCGGCGCCCCUUGUUCAGGUCUGUCCGACCCCGACGAGUCGACCUUGGCUGCUGAUUUGGGACUGCUAAAACCCCUCUUUGCAGCUCAGACCGAGGCGCUACGUGCCGAGUUGCAGGCUUUGGUUACCGCUCGUGCGGAGGAGGUUGUUCAACCCCUCCGCGACAUGGCCGUUGCUUUGCAGGGUUGGGCGGCCCAGGUCUCGGGCCUCUUGGAGCGGCUGGAGGCUAUCAGUGGCAAAUUUGUUGAUUUGCCGGCCUUCAAUCAGUCUCUUGAGGUGCGAGAGGGAGGGAAUAUGGGGAACGGUGGGGGAUCUUCUUCCUUGGCGCCUUUGGAUUUGCCUCCUCCCUGGUGCGAGCAUGAUGAGACGGCACCCUUUGUUGUUGCCGAUGGUAAGGAUGUCAGUGACGCGGGAGUGGCCGGGUGCUCGUCUGAGGUUCUGGCAACUAUGGCACUACCUGCAGAUGUUCUUCCAGUGGUGGAUGUAGUUCUACACGAGAUUGUAAUUCAAGGUGAGGAGGAGCAAGCUAAGGUUGCUGAGAUAGUCACAUCGAGCAAUAAUAUGGAGCAUAUUGAGGUGGCCUUGCCUGAUGGUUUGGUUGGCGAGGUGCCUCCCUUUGUCUCCUCUUCGGUGACGCUUGCUUCAGGGGGCACUACCAAUAUGUUGUCUUCUGGGUCCGAGGAGCCACUUGGUGAUAUUGGUGCGCCAUCUACCACCAUGUUGGAUGAGUUCCUAAGCAGUUUCAGUUGCGCGGCGCCGGGGUCCUUGCUCGAAGAACCGAUUCAUAUGCAGAUUGACGGUGCAUCUACUUGUUCCGAGAGGCGUAGUGGACGUUUGGAUAAGAAGAACAGAAACGGCAAUAUUCCUACUGCCAAGCGCGCUGAAUAUAGGUUGGCGGAGGCUUAUGGGGAACCGCCGAAGGGGAUGACAUCUAAGAAAGGCUCCGAGGAGGAUGUGCAAGAGAAGAUGAACUCUUAUCUUCGGAUGUACAAGAAACCGCUUACGCCGACGUCGAUCCAGGCAAUUCGUGCAUUGGUGGAGGCCAAUGGUUGA